CCAUGGCUUCCUGUUUGCUUAGGGUGCUGAUGAAAAUGUCAUCAUGGUCCGAAAUGGUUUUAUAAGUCUUCCUGCCACCCAUCCAGUGGUUAUGUGUGUGCUGUUUAUACCGUUAUAUCCUGUCAAGACUUUCCAAAAUUAGUGUUGACCUUUACAUAUGUUUCACUCCUAAAAUUUAGAGACCUGUAAGCUUGAUUUGACCUCUCCUGUAAAACUUCCCAUAUUUGUUCUGUACCGAUUUCCUUUGCCUUCUGGGUAUACUUAGUACUUCUAUCAACGGAAGUAUAGACAGCCUUAGUGCAGAUGUAGUCAUGAUUUUAGAGCUCAGGUUGUGUUAAGGAGCAACAGUUUAACUUUACACUGAGAGCAGAAAGUCUGUUAACUUGUAAAGGUUUUUACCUCUAGAGAGUGUGCUAAUUAAACUUAUCAAUGGAGAGAUAGUAGUGAGAGGAUGUGACAGACAAGACCACUGCAUAUGCGGGAGCAGAAAAGGACUGUACCACCUUUUAAUGUGAAAGGUUCUACCUCAAUUCUCUACACUCACACAGACACACACAUAGAGUUGGGGAAGGUAAGCUUCUCUUUGGAACUUUCAACAAUUUGCACAUGCCCUAUAAAAAGAGAGCGUUGGAGAGGUAUAUCUGUCUUCAGAACAGUGAACAUUAAUACCUUAAAUCUCUCUAAAGCUUCAUUGUUUUUCUUGUGUCCUAAGAGAAUGCUAGAAGAUAAUUAGCAACAUAUCCAAAAUUUGUGCUACCAGUAUGAUUUAUCUUUAUAAGAAAACACUGCUAUAUUAAGUUGCAUUAGUCUUUAUGCACAUAAAUUGAUGCAACUAUUAUUUACAUUUUGACAUGAUUUUCAAGAAUCACUAUCUUAUGGACAUCAAUGGUGAGGAUUUUUUUGCUGAAUUUAAUUUACUUCACCGUUUCUCCACGAGGCUUGAACCCUCGAGCCUUGACCACUAGGCCAAAGCCAAUAGAACUAUAAAUUUGGUUCUAUUUUGGGGCAUAGUACCUACACAUUUUACAUUUCAUAUACUUUUCCAAUAUGUGUGACCCUUUGUGUUUCCAAUCUAGUUACUACAUUUUUUGACAUCGAGUCCUUUGAAAUUUGGAAAAGCACAUUCAUGGAAUAUGUUUCUAUGAAUUGUUAUCUUCAAAAUGUAAUUUGAUAUAUGACUAUGUUUUGCAAAACAUGGUUUUAGUGGGUUGCUUGAGAAUUUUCAAAAUCUUCUUUUGAUGCAAUGGACUUGCAAUGAUCAUAGAAUUAAGUUAGCUAUAUAUAAUUGGUAUGAUGUCAUUUUCAAGCUUUCGUUUUUUCUCCUUAACACACACAUUUAUAAAUGAACUCCCUCACUCCCAAACAUGUAAUUCUAAAGAGUUAAUUGCAAAACGCAUCCGGUUGGUUUGGUCCAACUGCACUUUAUUACCUAAACUUUAGAUAAUUGCACAAUGAACCCCUUAACAUAUUUUAGCGCCACAUGUUGAACCCUUUUGGCCCAUUUUCGUCUAUUUUGACCUAUCACUAUGUUAAAUUAAAAGGGUAAAAUAGACCUAAGAACCUAUAACAUUACAUUUUAGUACAUUCUUAAGUCUAUUUCACCCUUUUAAAUUCCACAUUGAUUGGUCAAAAUAGACAAAAAUUGUCCAAAAGGGUUCAAGGUGCGUCGCUGAAACAUGUCAAGGGAUGCAUUUGGCAAUUAUUUAAAGUUUAGGUAAUAAAGUGCAAUUUGCCCAAACUAAAGGGUUGCAUUUUGCAAUUAAAUCAAUUUUAAAUUGCAAGUACAUUAAUUUUUUCACUUUGUUUACGUUGUGUACCACACCUACAUGGAAAAAGUAUAAGUUUUACUAAUGUUUGUUUUGUUUGCAUAUAGUUUUACUCAUUUAAUCAGCAUAAUUGAGCAGGAUUGGGCUUAAGUAUUACUCCCUCUGUCCCAAAAUAAGUGUCGCUUUGACUUUUUUCACGUAAUUUGAGGUGUAAAAAAGUCAUACUUCUACGUAUUAUUUUUCGAAUUUUCUUUUUCUGAAUAAAAGUUUAACACAUAUAUUUUUAUUCAGAAAAAGAAAAUUUGGAAAAUAAUGUGUAUAAGUAUGUUUUUCUUGCACCUUAAAUUACGUGCAGAAAGUCAAAGCGACACUUAUUUUGGGAUGGAGGGAGUACUGAUUUUCUUUUAAUCAAAUGAGAGAUAAACAUGCCAUCUGAACCGGCAAAGAAGUCUGUUGUGGUUUACAGUGAAAUGUUUUCCUUGCAAGGGAGUGUUGGUGCGUUAAAAUCUUUGGCUGUAAAUAGUUUACAGAGGAACGGUAGCUAGUGCCUAAAAUCCUUUUCAGCUGUAGCUUACAGAGGAAUUGAAACCCAUUCUCUCACUCAAAACGGUUGAUGGAAUGUGCAUUGGAUACAAUAAUGCAAGUCUCUAGUGCUAGGGCCAGGCACUCAAAUGCACUUAUAGAUGUGAAUGUAUCACUUCAACCUCUGUUUAAUUCAGUUGAAGCUUCGCAAAAGCACAUGUUGUUUUCCCUAUGUUAAACGGUUUAACUUUUCUGAUAGUCAUUGAUGUUGAAGUGUUUUUUCUGGGUGGAGGUGGGGGAGGGGGGUUCUGCACAGUGCACAUAGACAUUUGGUUCCUUUAUUGGCUAAC
RNAcentral lists this long non-coding RNA (2638 nucleotides) under Daucus carota (carrot). RNAcentral's name for it is "long non-coding RNA (DCAR_LNC006459)". The record is from RNAcentral. Lineage: Eukaryota; Viridiplantae; Streptophyta; Magnoliopsida; Apiales; Apiaceae.